CAGGAUGAACGCUGGCGGCGUGCUUAACACAUGCAUGUCGAACGAUGAAGGAGGAGCUUGCUCCUCUGGAUUAGUGGCGAACGGGUGAGUAACACGUGAGCAAUCUGCCCCUGACUCUGGGAUAAGCGCUGGAAACGGCGUCUAAUACCGGAUACGAGCCGAGCAGGCAUCUGCAGCGGCUGGAAAGAACUUCGGUCAGGGAUGAGCUCGCGGCCUAUCAGCUAGUUGGUGAGGUAAUGGCUCACCAAGGCGACGACGGGUAGCCGGCCUGAGAGGGUGACCGGCCACACUGGGACUGAGACACGGCCCAGACUCCUACGGGAGGCAGCAGUGGGGAAUAUUGCACAAUGGGCGCAAGCCUGAAUGCAGCAACGCCGCGUGAGGGACGAAGGCCUUCGGGUUGUAAACCUCUUUUAGCAGGGAAGAAGCGAAAGUGACGGUACCUGCAGAAAAAGCACCGGCUAACUACGUGCCAGCCGCCGC
Molecule: ribosomal RNA, 483 nt
Filed under: uncultured bacterium
Lineage: Bacteria
Description: bacterial SSU rRNA
Rfam family: Bacterial small subunit ribosomal RNA
Source: RNAcentral